CCCUUAGAUGUCCUGGGCCGCACGCGCGUUACACUGAUGCAUUCAACGAGCUUAUAACCUUGGCCGAGAGGCCUGGGCAAUCUUGUUAACGUGCAUCGUGAUAGGGAUAGAUUAUUGAAAUUAUUAAUCUUGAACGAGGAAUUCCUAGUAAACGCAGAUCAUCAAUCUGCAUUGAUUACGUCCCUGCCCUUUGUACACACCGCCCGUCGCUACUACCGAUUGAAUGAUUUAGUGAGUACCAGGGACCGAGCGCUUUGGUUGGGUUUCCUUCCCUAGCGCUUGGGAACUGUCGCAAACUUGACCAUUUAGAGGAAGUAAAAGUCGUAACA
Molecule: ribosomal RNA, 329 nt
Filed under: uncultured eukaryote
Lineage: Eukaryota
Description: partial 18S ribosomal RNA
Rfam family: Eukaryotic small subunit ribosomal RNA
Source: RNAcentral